This 137-nucleotide small RNA is filed under the name Salmonella enterica. RNAcentral describes it as "RtT sRNA". It matches the Rfam family "RtT RNA". From Rfam's summary of the family: This family represents a bacterial cis-regulatory element known as RtT RNA. Lineage: Bacteria; Pseudomonadati; Pseudomonadota; Gammaproteobacteria; Enterobacterales; Enterobacteriaceae. The record is from RNAcentral.
UAUCCCCCAAACUAAGGGGGGAUGAGAACCACCGACCGGGGUUCGACAACUGGCGCAGCCAGUUGGACAGACCGGGCGCACAGCGAACGGGCUGCCCGAAGGGCGAGCGCAGCGAGUCAAUCCCCCCCUCACCGCCA